AAUUGGAGGGCAAGUCUGGUGCCAGCAGCCGCGGUAAUUCCAGCUCCAAUAGCGUAUAUUAAAGUUGUUGCAGUUAAAAAGCUCGUAGUUGAAUUUCGGGAUCAAUAUUUCGGUCAUGCCGUUGGUAUGCACUGUUAUCAUUGAUUUCUCACCUUCUAAAGAACCGUAAUGCCAUUAAUUUGGUGUUACGGGGAAUUAGGACUGUUACCUUGAAAAAAUUAGAGUGUUUAAAGCAGGCUCACGCUUGAAUACAUUAGCAUGGAAUAAUGAAAUAGGACAUCCGAUUCUAUUUUGUUGGUUUCUAGGAUCGAUGUAAUGAUUAAUAGGGAUAGUUGGGGGCAUUAGUAUUCAAUUGUCAGAGGUGAAAUUCUCGGAUUUAUUGAAGACUAACUACUGCGAAAGCAUUUGCCAAGGAUGUUUUCAUUAAUCAAGAACGAAAGUUAGGGGAUCGAAGACGAUCAGAUACCGUCGUAGUCUUAACCAUAAACUAUGCCGACUAGGGAUCGGAUGAUGUUAAUUUUUUAAUGACUCAUUCGGCGCCUUACGGGAAACCAAAGUGU
Molecule: ribosomal RNA, 560 nt
Filed under: uncultured Glomus
Lineage: Eukaryota; Fungi; Glomeromycota; Glomeromycetes; Glomerales; Glomeraceae
Description: SSU rRNA
Rfam family: Eukaryotic small subunit ribosomal RNA
Source: RNAcentral